AGUGAACGCUGGCGGUAGGCCUAACACAUGCAAGUCGAACGGCAGCACAGUAAGCGCUUGCUCUUACGGGUGGCGAGUGGCGGACGGGUGAGGAAUACAUCGGAAUCUACUUUUUCGUGGGUGAUAACGGAGGGAAACUUAUGCUAAUACCUCAUACGAUCUACGGGUGAAAGCAGGGGAUCUUCGGACCUUUCGCGAUUGAAUGAGCUGAUGUCGGAUUAGCUAGUUGGCGGGGUAAAGGCCCACCAAGGCGACGAUCCGUAGCUGGUCUGAGAGGAUGAUCAGCCACACUGGAACUGAGACACGGUCCAGACUCCUACGGGAGGCAGCAGUGGGGAAUAUUGGACAAUGGGCGAAAGCCUGAUCCAGCCAUGCCGCGUGGGUGAAGAAGGCCUUCGGGUUGUAAAGCCCUUUUGUUGGGAAAGAAAAGCAGCAGGUUAAUACCCCGCUGUUCUGACGGUACCCAAAGAAUAAGCACCGGCUAACUUCGUG
RNAcentral lists this ribosomal RNA (492 nucleotides) under uncultured bacterium. RNAcentral describes it as "partial 16S ribosomal RNA". It matches the Rfam family "Bacterial small subunit ribosomal RNA", at positions 29 to 507 of the family's 1533-position model. The record is from RNAcentral.